Molecule: ribosomal RNA, 710 nt
Filed under: Acinetobacter sp. JA23-2
Lineage: Bacteria; Pseudomonadati; Pseudomonadota; Gammaproteobacteria; Moraxellales; Moraxellaceae
Also listed under: 1 other name
Description: bacterial SSU rRNA
Rfam family: Bacterial small subunit ribosomal RNA
Source: RNAcentral
UAGCUUGCUACCUGACCUAGCGGCGGACGGGUGAGUAAUGCUUAGGAAUCUGCCUAUUAGUGGGGGACAACAUUCCGAAAGGAAUGCUAAUACCGCAUACGCCCUACGGGGGAAAGCAGGGGAUCUUCGGACCUUGCGCUAAUAGAUGAGCCUAAGUCAGAUUAGCUAGUUGGUGGGGUAAAGGCCUACCAAGGCGACGAUCUGUAGCGGGUCUGAGAGGAUGAUCCGCCACACUGGGACUGAGACACGGCCCAGACUCCUACGGGAGGCAGCAGUGGGGAAUAUUGGACAAUGGGCGAAAGCCUGAUCCAGCCAUGCCGCGUGUGUGAAGAAGGCCUUUUGGUUGUAAAGCACUUUAAGCGAGGAGGAGGCUACUUAGAUUAAUACUCUAGGAUAGUGGACGUUACUCGCAGAAUAAGCACCGGCUAACUCUGUGCCAGCAGCCGCGGUAAUACAGAGGGUGCGAGCGUUAAUCGGAUUUACUGGGCGUAAAGCGUGCGUAGGCGGCUUUUUAAGUCGGAUGUGAAAUCCCUGAGCUUAACUUAGGAAUUGCAUUCGAUACUGGGAAGCUAGAGUAUGGGAGAGGAUGGUAGAAUUCCAGGUGUAGCGGUGAAAUGCGUAGAGAUCUGGAGGAAUACCGAUGGCGAAGGCAGCCAUCUGGCCUAAUACUGACGCUGAGGUACGAAAGCAUGGGGAGCAAACAGGAUUAG